GCCCACGAAGCUCUGCGGUUGAGCGCCGGCCUUUUGGCUCGGAGGCGCUGGUUCGAAUCCAGCCGUGGGCA
Molecule: transfer RNA, 71 nt
Filed under: Globisporangium irregulare DAOM BR486
Lineage: Eukaryota; Oomycota; Peronosporomycetes; Pythiales; Pythiaceae
Description: tRNA-Lys for anticodon UUU
Rfam family: tRNA
About the family: Transfer RNA (tRNA) molecules are approximately 80 nucleotides in length. Their secondary structure includes four short double-helical elements and three loops (D, anti-codon, and T loops). Further hydrogen bonds mediate the characteristic L-shaped molecular structure. tRNAs have two regions of fundamental functional importance: the anti-codon, which is responsible for specific mRNA codon recognition, and the 3' end, to which the tRNAs corresponding amino acid is attached (by aminoacyl-tRNA synthetases). tRNAs cope with the degeneracy of the genetic code in two manners: having more than one tRNA (with a specific anti-codon) for a particular amino acid; and 'wobble' base-pairing, i.e. permitting non-standard base-pairing at the 3rd anti-codon position.
Source: RNAcentral